Salvia hispanica is the source of this 669-nucleotide long non-coding RNA. RefSeq lists it as uncharacterized. NCBI's taxonomy places the organism in Eukaryota, Viridiplantae, Streptophyta, Magnoliopsida, Lamiales, Lamiaceae. The record is from RefSeq and is a predicted model, not a curated record.
UUAUGGCCUCCAGCGACAGGUAUACGACGUCGUAAAGGUUCAUUCAGAGCAAAAACCCAUCGUUUUUCUUUAACCAUUUCUCCCCAUCGAUUUUCACAAGAAAUUAGAACACAUCUGCCAAGGAAAAAUCUGAGCUUUCAGCGAAUAAUCACUACAUUUCUUCGAUUUUUAGAAAUAGAGUCAAUCGAUUGCUUCAUUUCUAUCCGAUUAUGAAUCUUCAGUUAGUAUGCAACAAGAGACACAUCAAAUUUGAUCCGACUUCAUUACUGUAUUGCUGGAAAGCUUGAAAAGAAAUUACCAUCCUUGUGAAAGGAUUAUUCACUGAGAUGGACGAACCAGCUAAACCUAGCUCAAGCCCGAGCCGGAGCAAACUAUUUUCGCAACCACCAGAACUGCAAUGUCAAACAGCUCGGAGAAUGCUCCUCUGUCUACUUAACUCUACAGGUGUGUGCGUUGUUUGUGAACCGGUGGCUUAAGAAAUGGUAUGAACAUCCUUAAGUUUGAUUUUGCAGGAGUGUCUUCUCAGUUCCAACAGAAAAGAAGUUCAGUUCAUGAAAGCAUGCAAUAGUGGAGAAAUAACUGAGCAGAGUAGAAAAUAAGUUUAUUUAUUCGAUUUUGAGGUAGAAGCAUGUAUUGAUUUAUUUCUUACUUAUGUUUAUAGUAAGAUCA